This 473-nucleotide ribosomal RNA is filed under the name uncultured bacterium. RNAcentral describes it as "partial 16S ribosomal RNA". It matches the Rfam family "Bacterial small subunit ribosomal RNA", at positions 28 to 507 of the family's 1533-position model. The record is from RNAcentral.
GGUGAACGCUGGCGGCGUGCCUAAGACAUGCAAGUCGAGCGGGCCGCGGGGUUUUACUCCGUGGUCAGCGGCGGACGGGUGAGUAACGCGUGGGUGACCUACCCGGAAGAGGGGGACAACCCGGGGAAACUCGGGCUAAUCCCCCAUGUGGACCCGCCCCUUGGGGUGUGUCCAAAGGGCUUUGCCCGCUUCCGGAUGGGCCCGCGUCCCAUCAGCUAGUUGGUGGGGUAAUGGCCCACCAAGGCGACGACGGGUAGCCGGCCUGAGAGGGUGGCCGGCCACAGGGGCACUGAGACACGGGCCCCACUCCUACGGGAGUCAGCAGUUAGGAAUCUUCCGCAAUGGGCGCAAGCCUGACGGAGCGACGCCGCUUGGAGGAAGAAGCCCUUCGGGGUGUAAACUCCUGAACCCGGGACGAAACCCCCGACGAGGGGACUGACGGUACCGGGGUAAUAGCGCCGGCCAACUCCGUG